CAUUACCUACGGGACGCAGCAGUAGGGAAUCUUCCACAAUGGACGAAAGUCUGAUGGAGCAACGCCGCGUGAGUGAAGAAGGGUUUCGGCUCGUAAAGCUCUGUUGGUAGUGAAGAAAGAUAGAGGUAGUAACUGGCCUUUAUUUGACGGUAAUUACUUAGAAAGUCACGGCUAACUACGUGCCAGCAGCCGCGGUAAUACGUAUGGAGCAAGCGUUAUCCGGAUUUACUGGGUGUAAAGGGAGCGUAGGCGGCUCUGUAAGUCUGAUGUGAAAAUUUGGGGCUCAAACCCAAA
RNAcentral lists this ribosomal RNA (294 nucleotides) under uncultured bacterium. Its description in RNAcentral is "partial 16S ribosomal RNA". It matches the Rfam family "Bacterial small subunit ribosomal RNA", at positions 333 to 619 of the family's 1533-position model. The record is from RNAcentral.